UGUGCGCCGAGAACUGGUGGCUCUCCAGGAUCUUGUAGAGCUCGCGGAAGUUGCCCCGGUGGAAAGCCACCACCGCCUUGGCCUUCAGGACGCUCUCGUUCUUGUGGAGGUGCUCGCAGGCAGGGAGGGACCAGAGGAACCGUCCCAGCCGCUCGAUGUUGCCGCCUUGCUGGAGCACCUCGCAGACGCAGGCCACUUGCUCUUGGGUGAAGCCAAAAGUCGGGAGCAUCGACAUGUGGUUGAAUCUGAACGGGAGCAGCUGUUCGCCCUAGCCGGAAAGGAGAUGUCAAAACCUGUUGCGUGGAUUUAGAUCUGAGAGUCUUCUUAGCACCCUAAACUAGCAGGAGGCGCGAAUCGCCUGUUCACGUUUGCUCCCGGUCCGACGGGAUCGUUUCACUUGGUUGCUGCCGGCUGUCUCCAGUUUAGCUGCUGCGGAAAGUUUUAUUUGAGGCGACCCAAAAGGCGGGUUUCAUCUCGGCCCCGGCCCCGACUGCCACUUUGCCCAGG
Long non-coding RNA from Chiroxiphia lanceolata (lance-tailed manakin), 507 nucleotides. RefSeq lists it as uncharacterized. NCBI's taxonomy places the organism in Eukaryota, Metazoa, Chordata, Aves, Passeriformes, Pipridae. The transcript is spliced from 3 exons. The record is from RefSeq and is a predicted model, not a curated record.